This 20-nucleotide non-coding RNA is filed under the name Arabidopsis thaliana (thale cress). Lineage: Eukaryota; Viridiplantae; Streptophyta; Magnoliopsida; Brassicales; Brassicaceae. The record is from RNAcentral.
UCAAAGUGCCUUCUCUUUAG